UCAGGAUGAACGCUGGCGGCGUGCCUAAUACAUGCAAGUCGAGCGAACAGAUGAGAAGCUUGCUUCUCUGAUGUUAGCGGCGGACGGGUGAGUAACACGUGGGUAACCUACCUAUAAGACUGGGAUAACUCCGGGAAACCGGGGCUAAUACCGGAUAAUAUUUUGAACCGCAUGGUUCAAUAGUGAAAGACGGUUUCGGCUGUCACUUAUAGAUGGACCCGCGCCGUAUUAGCUAGUUGGUAAGGUAACGGCUUACCAAGGCGACGAUACGUAGCCGACCUGAGAGGGUGAUCGGCCACACUGGAACUGAGACACGGUCCAGACUCCUACGGGAGGCAGCAGUAGGGAAUCUUCCGCAAUGGGCGAAAGCCUGACGGAGCAACGCCGCGUGAGUGAUGAAGGUCUUCGGAUCGUAAAACUCUGUUGUUAGGGAAGAACAAAUUUGUUAGUAACUGAACAAGUCUUGACGGUACCUAACCAGAAAGCCACGGCUAACUACGUGCCAGCAGCCGCGGUAAUACGUAGGUGGCAAGCGUUAUCCGGAAUUAUUGGGCGUAAAGCGCGCGUAGGCGGUUUCUUAAGUCUGAUGUGAAAGCCCACGGCUCAACCGUGGAGGGUCAUUGGAAACUGGGAAACUUGAGUGCAGAAGAGGAGAGUGGAAUUCCAUGUGUAGCGGUGAAAUGCGCAGAGAUAUGGAGGAACACCAGUGGCGAAGGCGGCUCUCUGGUC
This 729-nucleotide ribosomal RNA is filed under the name Mammaliicoccus sciuri. RNAcentral describes it as "bacterial SSU rRNA". It matches the Rfam family "Bacterial small subunit ribosomal RNA", at positions 24 to 734 of the family's 1533-position model. Lineage: Bacteria; Bacillati; Bacillota; Bacilli; Caryophanales; Staphylococcaceae. The record is from RNAcentral.